AUUGAACGCUGGCGGCAUGCUUUACACAUGCAAGUCGAACGGUAACAGGUUAAGCUGACGAGUGGCGAACGGGUGAGUGAUGCAUCGGAACGUGCCCGGUCGUGGGGGAUAACGCAGCGAAAGCUGCGCUAAUACCGCAUACGAUCUGAGGAUGAAAGCGGGGGACCGUAAGGCCUCGCGCGAUCGGAGCGGCCGAUGUCAGAUUAGGUAGUUGGGGGGGUAAAGGCUCACCAAGCCAACGAUCUGUAGCUGGUCUGAGAGGACGACCAGCCACAGUGGGACUGAGACACGGCCCAGACUCCUACGGGAGGCAGCAGUGGGGAAUUUUGGACAAUGGGCGAAAGCCUGAUCCAGCAAUGCCGCGUGCAGGAAGAAGGCCUUCGGGUUGUAAACUGCUUUUGUACGGAGCGAAAAGGUCUCCUCUAAUACAGGGGGCUCAUGACGGUGCCGUAAGAAUAAGCACCGGCUAACUACGUGCCAGCCGCCGCCGUAA
RNAcentral lists this ribosomal RNA (493 nucleotides) under uncultured bacterium. Its description in RNAcentral is "partial 16S ribosomal RNA". It matches the Rfam family "Bacterial small subunit ribosomal RNA", at positions 29 to 523 of the family's 1533-position model. The record is from RNAcentral.